RNAcentral lists this ribosomal RNA (254 nucleotides) under uncultured bacterium. RNAcentral's name for it is "partial 16S ribosomal RNA". It matches the Rfam family "Bacterial small subunit ribosomal RNA", at positions 524 to 776 of the family's 1533-position model. The record is from RNAcentral.
UACGUAGGGUGCAGGCGUUAAUCGGAAUUACUGGGCGUAAAGCGUGCGCAGGCGGUUUGCUAAGACAGGUGUGAAAUCCCCGGGCUUAACCUGGGAACUGCGCUUGUUACUGGCAGGCUUGAGUGUGGCAGAGGGGGGUGGAAUUCCACGUGUAGCAGUGAAAUGCGUAGAGAUGUGGAGGAACACCGAUGGCGAAGGCAGCCCCCUGGGCUAACACGUGACGCUCAUGCACGAAAGCGUGGGGAGCGAACAGG